AUACGGAGGAUCCGAGCGUUAUCCGGAUUUAUUGGGUUUAAAGGGUGCGCAGGCGGCCAUUUAAGUCAGCGGUUAAAUCGUGGGGCUCAACCCCAUUCUGCCGUUGAUACUGGGUGGCUUGAUUGCGGUCGAGGUUGGCGGAAUUCGUUGUGUAGCGGUGAAAUGCAUAGAUAUGACGAAGAACACCGAUUGCGUAGGCAGCUGACCAGACCGCAAAUGACGCUCAUGCACGAAAGUGCGGGGAUCGAACAGGAUUAGAUACCCUGGUAGUCCGCACAGUAAACGAUGAAUACUUGUUUUCGGCGAUAUAAUGUCGGAGGCAAAGCGAAGCGAUAAGUAUUCCACCUGGGGAGUACGCCGGCAACGGUGAAACUCAAAUGAAUUGGCGGGG
Molecule: ribosomal RNA, 391 nt
Filed under: uncultured bacterium
Lineage: Bacteria
Description: partial 16S ribosomal RNA
Rfam family: Bacterial small subunit ribosomal RNA
Source: RNAcentral